This 306-nucleotide ribosomal RNA is filed under the name Clostridioides difficile. Its description in RNAcentral is "bacterial SSU rRNA". It matches the Rfam family "Bacterial small subunit ribosomal RNA", at positions 578 to 885 of the family's 1533-position model. The record is from RNAcentral. Lineage: Bacteria; Bacillati; Bacillota; Clostridia; Peptostreptococcales; Peptostreptococcaceae.
GUCUUUCAAGUCAGGAGUGAAAGGCUACGGCUCAACCGUAGUAAGCUCUUGAAACUGGGAGACUUGAGUGCAGGAGAGGAGAGUGGAAUUCCUAGUGUAGCGGUGAAAUGCGUAGAUAUUAGGAGGAACACCAGUUGCGAAGGCGGCUCUCUGGACUGUAACUGACGCUGAGGCACGAAAGCGUGGGGAGCAAACAGGAUUAGAUACCCUGGUAGUCCACGCUGUAAACGAUGAGUACUAGGUGUCGGGGGUUACCCCCCUCGGUGCCGCAGCUAACGCAUUAAGUACUCCGCCUGGGAAGUACGC